UGCAGUGUUUUAGAAAACCUAGUAUCACCCAGCAGGAAAGUGAGGUGUUUCUUUCCUGUGGGAAAUGCAAGAACAGUCAGGGGCUAUUGGAGAAAGGAGGAAGAAGAUGUCCAGCACCACCACAGAUGGAAUCCUGUCCCCUAGAAGAAGGUUGCUAUUUUGGGAAAAGGGAAUAUGGUGUCCUGAGACUCCAGGAAGAGGAGGAGCCCAGAAACAGCUGCAAAGAAAGGGCAGAGAUGAUGGCAAGAUGGAAUGGUGAAAUAAAAAAAAGAAAACAUUGUCAAGCAUCACAAAGCUGAUACCUGCUCUGUGACAUGGCAGACUGACUGCAGUUACUUAAACCCAAACUACUCUUGAGCAUAAUUGCUGUAGCAAGCAUCCACCCACUGGCAAUGCACAGAACUCUCAGUCACCGUUUCUCUGCAAGCAACCAGAGAGAGGCAAGUGAAGUCUGAUGUACAGCCAGGAGAAGAGCAGUUUCAUCCUGGAUUUGAUAAGGUCACAGAAAACAUAAAGUGCUUGUUAACUUCCAGAAAGGAUGAAGAGAAAUAACUGCAACUGUGUAUGGAUUUUGCAUUUGACUGGAAGUCUGACAUCAAGUCUGAGAAGAUCUACUGAACAUUUUGACGUUUCAGUCAAGGAUAACAGAAAAUUUCUCCAAACCAAGGUGGAAAGCAAAGCCAAGCAGCAGCUAAGUGGAAAGGAGUCUGCCCUGUGGGAGCAGAGCGUGACCCUCAGGCAGCAAUGAUUGCCUGAUGGAGAGACACCAGGGAAGAUUCCUGUUCUGCACAGGUCAUGGCUCUUUCCUGAAUGAUAGUGCUAGCACAAUUCAUACUCAACAGCAAGUAAUCUGACUUCUAUGUGCUCUCAUUUCCCUCUCUGCAAAUGGGCUGGAUUACUUUGGCUGUUACCAGUGACACCUCUGACUCUGAGUACUCCCACUGAAUCUUAAAAAAAGAG
This is a long non-coding RNA of Chiroxiphia lanceolata (lance-tailed manakin), 960 nucleotides long. RefSeq lists it as uncharacterized. The transcript has 6 exons. Lineage: Eukaryota; Metazoa; Chordata; Aves; Passeriformes; Pipridae. The record is from RefSeq and is a predicted model, not a curated record.